RNAcentral lists this long non-coding RNA (1382 nucleotides) under Mus musculus (house mouse). Its description in RNAcentral is "long non-coding RNA chr2:145229822-145231204". The record is from RNAcentral. Lineage: Eukaryota; Metazoa; Chordata; Mammalia; Rodentia; Muridae.
UUUUUUUUUUUUUUUUUUUUGAGGAGCCAAGUGAUGUAGUGUGGUCAAAUUCUAUUCAAUUGGAAGCAAAAGGUGAGUUUUUAAGAAAAAUGAAGGAACAUAUUAGUCAGGAUUGCAGGGGCCAAGUGUAUUUGCUGUAUGGAAAAUACAGUCACAGGGGCACGCCAGCAGAGCAUAGCUUAGCUGGGACCCAUGGAGUCAUUUGAAUCUGGAAUCUGCUAAUUCUUCUGAACAAUGUGAAUCCCUGUGUCUUUAAUACUUUAUUAUGUGUGAAAAUGAUGUAUUUUAUUGAGGCCUUGUACCUAAUUUUGGAUUUCUAUUUUACAUUUAAAAGAAGAACACUUAUAUAACUUUAGACCCUAUAAUAUCCAGAAACAUAGAUUUAAGAGGUAAAAAUAAAAAUGAGAACGUGACUUUAAAAUUAUGGAUUUUUCAUAGAACAAAAUAUUUAGAUUUUAAUGAGUGAAUGAAUGAACAUUGUUUUAUUAAGUAGACAUGACUCAUCACAAUCACUUUUUUCAAUGUGUGACUUUCCAGAAACAUGUGCUUGAAGCUCUAUUUUGUGUUUUGUUUAGUAUUGAAGCUUAAUGGCUGAGAAAAUCCAACAAGGCUCAAGAGUCUAAAGGGCAAAAGCCCACUGUAAGUGAGAUCUACUAAGGGAAGGCACUGACUGUCAAUCAAAGCCAGUUAUGCAAAGAGCCCUCACCCUGGCCCAGCUGAUUAACCUGCUCGUUUUUUUAGGUGGUACACUUAUGCACUCAGUACAUGCAUUCAAAACUCCUUGUUUUGGAAUGUUUUUAAGUAGAUCAUACAAUUCUACCUAAUUUAUUCUGACUAGGACAUACAGACUGUUUUAGAGUCUGCUGAUCUUUAUCAUCUGGUAAGAGGGCCACAAAAUGCCUUCAUAUUUGUUUUUCUAAUGGUCUUUCCAUGGAGCAAGUUACUUUAGGAAAGCAACAGAUUUCUCAUGAGCUAUUCAAAUGUCAUUUUGAAAGAUACAUGUUUGUCUCUGAAGAUACAUGUGUGCUCUCUGAAAAUAUUGACUAGGGGCAUACUUACCUGGUAAUUAUCUUCUUCCCAGGAAAUUGUAGCCUGUUUAUAGUAGUUGUCAUUUUACAAUAGAUAAGUGCACACUUUAUAUUUAAAAAUAAUUUUUACAUGUACUUGUACUUCUGCACUCAAGGCUGCAUUUAUACAAUAUUUAUGGAACACGCACGGAAAUUGGAAUCAGAGCAUGCAGGAGUUGUUAGUUGUCUCUUCCUGGAUAGGUUCCAGGGCUCAAACGCAAGUCAUCAGGCUGUGUGGCAAGAACUUUUACCCAAUGCAUCAUCUCACUGGCCCUAACUCACUAGCUAUUAAAGGCUAGUUACCAUCUAUAAAGU